This 617-nucleotide long non-coding RNA is filed under the name Stegodyphus dumicola. RNAcentral describes it as "uncharacterized LOC118194500, transcript variant X1". Lineage: Eukaryota; Metazoa; Arthropoda; Arachnida; Araneae; Eresidae. The record is from RNAcentral.
GCGGAGGGCUGGUAGCAAAGAAAUAAACGCUCCCAUGUGUAGGGAAAAUUAGCUGUGUGCGUUGCAAAAAGAAAUCACACUUAAAAUUCCUGUAUUAACAGAUAAAAUUCUCUCCCAAAGAAAUGUUUUGAGAAACUGAAGAAGCAUUUGUAAGAUUAAUGUCACAGCGAUGAUGAUGUGCCGUUCAGAGAUUUGAAGGCUCUGCUAAAACGUUUUUCUGUCCUGGAAUUUGAGGCUUAACGCUGUACUAGUUUCAUCCAAUUCAAGGGCCUCUACCUAGAAAACUGAAAACAGUCUGUAUCUUCUCCACUCUCCGAGCAGGAUGAUGACGGGGGUAGCUUUGAGGAGGCAGACUGUCCCUUUUCAGUGUCUGUCAGCGCAGUCAGCAGCUUAAUGGUAUUCUGAACGCUUAGCGUUCAGUGCUCUCCCAGAUUUCUCCCGAUAUGCUAAGCUACUGUUUGCUCAGAAAUACUAUGAAAAGCAGGUUUGAAUCAAGCUUCUUAAAAAUUAUGUUAGUGCGUAUAUAAUCAUUUACACAUUCGAGUGGCGAAUUACUCAAAGUCUCUUAUUGGAGUACGUGGAAUAAAUCCACAGCCCCGUAGUCAAGUUGUUUUUCC